RNAcentral lists this ribosomal RNA (505 nucleotides) under uncultured soil bacterium. RNAcentral describes it as "bacterial SSU rRNA". It matches the Rfam family "Bacterial small subunit ribosomal RNA", at positions 26 to 525 of the family's 1533-position model. The record is from RNAcentral.
AGAAUGAACGCUGGCGGCGCGCCUAAUACAUGCAAGUCGAGCGAGAAGACGUAGCAAUACGUUUGUAAAGCGGCGAACGGGUGAGGAAUACAUGGGUAACCUACCCUCGAGUGGGGAAUAACUAGCCGAAAGGUUAGCUAAUACCGCGUACGCUUCUUGGACUUCGGUUCAGGGAGGAAAGCGAUGCCAAGGGUAUCGCGCUCUUGGAUGGGCUCAUGUCCUAUCAGCUUGUUGGUGAGGUAACGGCUCACCAAGGCUUCGACGGGUAGCUGGUCUGAGAGGACGAUCGGCCACACUGGCACUGCGACACGGGCCAGACUCCUACGGGAGGCAGCAGUAAGGAAUAUUGCGCAAUGGGCGAAAGCCUGACGCAGCGACGCGCGUGGGGGAUGAAGGUCUUCGGAUUGUAAACCCCGUUUGGAGGAAGAUGGAAUGGGUAACCCAGUUCGGACGGUACCUCCGAGAAGCAGCCACGGCUAACUCGUGCCAGCCAGCCGCGGUAAUC